GUGUCAGCAGCCGCGGUAAGACAGAGGGUGCAAGCGUUGUUCGGAAUUAUUGGGCGUAAAGGGCGCGUAGGCGGCUUCAUAAGUCAGAUGUGAAAUCCCGGGGCUUAACCCCGGAAGUGCGUCUGAUACUGUGAGGCUUGAGUCCUGGAGAGGGCGGUGGAAUUCCCAGUGUAGAGGUGAAAUUCGUAGAUAUUGGGAGGAAUACCGGUGGCGAAGGCGACCGCCUGGACAGAGACUGACGCUGAGGCGCGAAAGCGUGGGGAGCAAACAGGAUUAGAAACCCCCGUAGUCC
RNAcentral lists this ribosomal RNA (292 nucleotides) under uncultured bacterium. RNAcentral's name for it is "partial 16S ribosomal RNA". It matches the Rfam family "Bacterial small subunit ribosomal RNA", at positions 505 to 796 of the family's 1533-position model. The record is from RNAcentral.